CUCAGAAUAGUACAUAUUUAGAAUUUAUGACUGUUUAUUUCUGGAAUUUUCCAUUUCCUAUUUUCAGAAUGCGGUUGACUGCAGGUGACUGAAAUGAUGGAUGAGGGUGAACUACCAUACAGGACUCUAGGCAGGCAUGCCCAAGUGACUACCAGUAGCCAGUGAGAUUGUACAACCCCAGGUUUAGGCUACAUCACUGAUGAGGCAAAUGGCAUUCUUCAACAGUGACAUUCCUUUUUCACUACACCUAAAGUGGUUUCAAACACUGUGCUCUUAUUAUCUCUGCUAUCUUAUUUUUUUGGUGAGGAAGUUUGGCCCUGUGUUAACAUCUGUUGCCAAUCUUCCUCUUUUUGCUUGGGGAGGUUGUCCCUGAGCUAACAUGUGUGCCAAUCUUCCUCUAUUUUAUAUGUAGGAUGCCACCACAGCAUGGUUUGACGAGCAGUGUGUGGGUCCAUGCCCAGGUUCCAAACCCGCAAACCCCAAGCUGCCAAAGCAGCGCACGUGAACUUAACCACUAUGCCACCAGGACGGCCUCUGCAUUAUUUUUGAUGGAACUGAAGCUGAGAAGGCAGUGUCGCACAGGCCUGAGUCUGGGAAGUGGACCCAGAGUUAACGAGCAAGAAGUCCACAGGUUAUAUUGAAUGGCUGCCCUCCUAUCUUGUCUGGAAGAGAUCCCCAGAGGACCCCAGCUCUCAGAGCCAGAAAUUGGUUUCUUCCUUCCAAGCAGACAUGACUCCCCAGACUCUGACCCUUGGGAUGUAUGCACAAAACAUUUCUUUCCAUUCCGUCACCCAGGUAUCCACCGAGGCUUCCCUGCCACUCUGGCACCUGCAACUGAAAUGCUGUCCCUGUGCUCUGUUCUUUUUGUAGUUUUUUCACUACCUCAUAUUACAUUCUAAGCUUAUAGGUUAACUUGCUCAUUAUUUGACUCCACCACUAAAAAUAUAAAUUCCAUGAGAGAAGGCAAUUUGCUCUCUUUUUCACGACUGGAUCGUCAGAGCUUAAACAGUGGCUGGAACAUACAGUGAAUUCAACAAGUACCUGUUAAAUGAAUAAAUGAUUUAAAUAACACAGUCACUCUGUGCAGCUGAACAAAAAACUCAGCUCUGAUUCAAGAACUACUAAAUAAUUAACUCUACAAAAAUAUUACUUGGAAAUGUUGAUUUUACUGAAGAUUUUGGAUGGGAAAUAGAGAAAGGAUUUAUAUUGGAACUCUUCAUUAAAAAUUGUUCAACCUCAUUCAUAACAAAAAGAAUGCAAAUUAAAAUCGGACCAAGAAGCCUGCAGAGCCUAGGAAGAGUAAACAGAACUGUGGAGAUGGGGAGAGAAAGGAGGGGAAGGGAGGUACCUGGCACAUAGCCCAAGGGAACGAGAAAAGUAUUUAUGUGGGAGAGGGGCAGAGAUGUGAGAUGUGUUACAUACAGGAGGGAUGCUCAAAUAAACAACUAUUUAAGGAUAAUGUGAGCUAAGUUUCUCACUGUCAGAGAAGGGAAUUAAAAAUACAGAAAAGGAGAAAACUAUAAUGAAUCAUGUGAUGUUGGAUAAGAAUUGAAGGUAUGGUAUCAACCUAUAGUUGUAAUGUAUAGAAAUAAAUAAAUAUAGAUGUAAACAUGUGUCUAUUAAGAAGGCCUAGGAAUAGAGAUAACCCAAUAGUGAGGAGCACACGUAGCACCCAGAUCUUG
Equus caballus (horse) is the source of this 1682-nucleotide long non-coding RNA. NCBI's taxonomy places the organism in Eukaryota, Metazoa, Chordata, Mammalia, Perissodactyla, Equidae. The record is from Ensembl.